AUUGAACGCUGGCGGCAGGCUUAACACAUGCAAGUCGAACGGUAGCAGGUAAGUACUUGUACUUAUGCUGACGAGUGGCGGACGGGUGAGUAAUGCUUGGGGAUCUGGCUUAUGGAGGGGGAUAACGACGGGAAACUGUCGCUAAUACCGCGUAGAAUCGGGAGAUGAAAGUGUGGGACCUUCGGGCCACAUGCCAUAGGAUGAACCCAAGUGGGAUUAGGUAGUUGGUGGGGUAAUG
RNAcentral lists this ribosomal RNA (238 nucleotides) under uncultured Aggregatibacter sp. RNAcentral describes it as "partial 16S ribosomal RNA". It matches the Rfam family "Bacterial small subunit ribosomal RNA", at positions 30 to 262 of the family's 1533-position model. The record is from RNAcentral. Lineage: Bacteria; Pseudomonadati; Pseudomonadota; Gammaproteobacteria; Pasteurellales; Pasteurellaceae.